Molecule: ribosomal RNA, 1055 nt
Filed under: Muyocopron lithocarpi
Lineage: Eukaryota; Fungi; Ascomycota; Dothideomycetes; Muyocopronales; Muyocopronaceae
Description: SSU rRNA
Rfam family: Eukaryotic small subunit ribosomal RNA
Source: RNAcentral
AAAGAUUAAGCCAUGCAUGUCUAAGUAUAAGCACUCAUACUGUGAAACUGCGAAUGGCUCAUAAAUCAGUAUCGUUUAUUGAUAGUACCUUACUACUUGGAUACCCGUGGUAAUUCUAGAGCUAAUACAUGCUGAAAACCCCGACUUCGGGAGGGGUGUGUUUAUUAGAUAAAAAACCAAUGCCCUUUCGGGGCUGCUUGGUGAUUCAUGAUAACCAAACGAAUCGCAUGGCCUUGAGCCGGCGAUGGUUCAUUCAAAUUUCUGCCCUAUCAACUUUCGAUGGUAGGAUCUGGGCCUACCAUGGUAUCAACGGGUAACGGGGAAUUAGGGUUCGAUUCCGGAGAGGGAGCCUGAGAAACGGCUACCACAUCCAAGGAAGGCAGCAGGCGCGCAAAUUACCCAAUCCCGACACGGGGAGGUAGUGACAAUAAAUACUGAUACAGGGCUCUUUAGGGUCUUGUAAUUGGAAUGAGUACAAUUUAAACCCCUUAACGAGGAACAAUUGGAGGGCAAGUCUGGUGCCAGCAGCCGCGGUAAUUCCAGCUCCAAUAGCGUAUAUUAAAGUUGUUGCAGUUAAAAAGCUCGUAGUUGAACCUUGGGACAGGCUAGCCGGUCCGCCUUACCGCGUGCACUGGUUUGGCCGGUCCCUUUCCUCUGGCAAACCGCAUGCCCUUCACUGGGCGUGUCGGGGAACCAGGACUUUUACUUUGAAAAAAUUAGAGUGUUCAAAGCAGGCCUUUGCUCGGAUACAUUAGCAUGGAAUAAUAGAAUAGGACGCGUGGUUCUAUUUUGUUGGUUUCUAGAACCGCCGUAAUGAUUAAUAGGGACAGUCGGGGGCAUCAGUAUUCAGACGCGAGAGGUGAAAUUCUUAGACCGUCUGAAGACUAACUACUGCGAAAGCAUUUGCCAAGGAUGUUUUCAUUAAUCAGUGAACGAAAGUUGGGGGAUCGAAGACGAUCAGAUACCGUCGUAGUCUCAACCGUAAACUAUGCCGACUAGGGAUCGGGCGACGUUCCAUUUAUGACUCGCCCGGCACCUUACGAGAAAUCAAAGUC